CGUGAGUGAUGAAGGCUUUCGGGUCAUAAAGCUCUGUCAAGUGGGAAGAACCUGUCUGGUGUAAAUACCAUCAGGCACUGACGGUACCACUGGAGGAAGCACCGGCUAACUCCGUGCCAGCAGCCGCGGUAAGACGGAGGGUGCAAGCGUUAUUCGGAAUUACUGGGCGUAAAGGGCGCGUAGGCGGCUCUUUAAGUCAGGCGUGAAAGCCCAGGGCUCAACCCUGGAAGUGCGUUUGAUACUGAGGAGCUUGAGUACGGGAGAGGGAAGUGGAAUUCCUGGUGUAGAGGUGAAAUUCGUAGACAUCAGGAGGAACACCGGUGGCGAAGGCGGCUUCCUGGACCGAUACUGACGCUGAGGCGCGAAAGCGUGGGGAGCAAACAGGAUUAGAGACCCUGGUAGUCCACGCUGUAAACGAUGAACACUAGGUGUAGCGGGUAUUGACCCCCGCUGUGCCGUAGCUAACGCAUUAA
RNAcentral lists this ribosomal RNA (473 nucleotides) under uncultured delta proteobacterium. Its description in RNAcentral is "bacterial SSU rRNA". It matches the Rfam family "Bacterial small subunit ribosomal RNA", at positions 400 to 863 of the family's 1533-position model. Lineage: Bacteria; Deltaproteobacteria. The record is from RNAcentral.